Molecule: unclassified non-coding RNA, 335 nt
Filed under: soil metagenome
Description: partial contains 5.8S ribosomal RNA, internal transcribed spacer 2, and large subunit ribosomal RNA
Rfam family: 5.8S ribosomal RNA (bases 1-120)
Source: RNAcentral
GAUAAAGAACGUAGCGAAAUGCGAUAAGUAAUGUGAAUUGCAGAAUUCAGUGAAUCAUCGAAUCUUUGAACGCACAUUGCGCCCGCUAGUAUUCUGGCGGGCAUGCCUGUUCGAGCGUCAUUUCAACCAUCAAGCUCCUUAGCUUGUGUUGGGGACCUGCGGCUGCCGCAGCCCCCGAAAUGCAGUGGCGGGCUCGUUGUCACACCGAGUGCAGUAAUCAUUCUUCUCUCCGGGCGUGGCGGCGGGUUCCGGCCGUAAAAUCACCAAUUUAUCAAGGUUGACCUCGGAUCAGGUAGGAAUACCCGCUGAACUUAAGCAUAUCAAUAAGCGGAGGA